AAGUCGUAACAAGGUUUCCGUAGGUGAACCUGCGGAAGGAUCAUUACUAGAGCAAAGGAUAGGUAACGCCCCGCCGAAGCUUGCUUCUGAAGGGCUGCGCCGUCGAACCUCUCGGAGAAGUUCGGUCCUGAACUCCACCCUUGAAUAAAUUACCUCUGUUGCUUUGGCGGGCCGCCUUGCGCCAGCGGCUUCGGCUGUUGAGUGCCCGCCAGAGGACCUCAACUCUUGUUUUUAGUGAUGUCUGAGUACUAUAUAAUAGUUAAAACUUUCAACAACGGAUCUCUUGGUUCUG
RNAcentral lists this unclassified non-coding RNA (292 nucleotides) under Cadophora sp. RNAcentral describes it as "partial internal transcribed spacer region". The stretch from base 1 to 46 matches the Rfam family "Eukaryotic small subunit ribosomal RNA", at positions 1786 to 1831 of the family's 1831-position model. The record is from RNAcentral. Lineage: Eukaryota; Fungi; Ascomycota; Leotiomycetes; Helotiales; Ploettnerulaceae.